Leopardus geoffroyi (Geoffroy's cat) is the source of this 1516-nucleotide long non-coding RNA. RefSeq lists it as uncharacterized. The transcript has 12 exons. The record is from RefSeq and is a predicted model, not a curated record. Lineage: Eukaryota; Metazoa; Chordata; Mammalia; Carnivora; Felidae.
UCAGACCUGCCCCUCCCUCCAACCAAGACCGUGUCAAGUGGAAACAUGUCUCUGAGACGCGGCACAGACAAUACCUCUGGCAUUAAGGACCAUCACACGGAGCCGAUUCCUUAAACAACUGUACAGCAUCACAGGGAAGGGACAGAGGCCAGGAAAAAACUACUACACUUGUCUAAUUAUUUCAGCGCAGCCCCAAUGCAACGUUACCUUGACUACUUUGACCCUUGGCGUAAAUGCAGAUUUGCAGUUCCCUAACGUAGCUGUAGCCUGCAGGCCCUGAAUUAUGAAAAGAGCCUUCAGUUUCGUCACAAUGCAGAGUUUGAAGCACUUCCUGACCCUUCCCCUAGUGGGCAGAAGUAUCUACUUUGCAGAAGAACUAAUGUUGUGACUGGAAGGCUGGAAGGAAAGGCUGGGCUCUGCAGUGCAGCAGGGAGGGAGACAUAGAGUGACUGAAGUCCAAGGUCCAGUGGUGAAAUGAAAAGACCGUCAGCAGAUAUUUGACCCAAGAAGGAGGCAUCUGGAUGGAAGUACUGUGAGUUCUUAUGAGGGAACCCUGAAUACCAGGAUGGUACUUGAUUAUCACCGGCUACAGAUUCUCAACAGCCCUAGUUUUCCGGGUGUGAUCUUUGAUGCAAACCAGCAUCAUCAACCAGCAUCUCAUUGUCAUCAAGAAUAAAAGACUCUUGGGGUGCCUGGGUGGCUCAGUCAGAUAGGUCUAAAUAUAACAACAUUCUGGGAAAUUUUGCCUCAGCCCUGUCCUCUGAGAUCAUUAGCGAGAAGUGUGUUCACCAUGAUUCCAGUUCAGCAAAGAAGGCUCAUCAGAAGAAGGAAUCACACCCCCCAGGUGAGACUCCAUCUCAGAGAGAAGACACCCAAGGUUUGGAGGGCAGCAUAUCCAGUCCGCUCCACGUUACCCUUUUCUUUAAGAUGACGAAACAGACGCAUGGACGAGUUAUAUAACGUGGUCCAAAUUACACAAGCAAAAGUGGUGUACCCAAUUCGUUGGAUCCUUGAGCCUGGGUUCUUAGAUCUUAUACCAUCAGGCCAUCAGCUGAUGGCCAUCAGCUUCGCAUCACAGCCACCAGCUUCAUGACCCAGCUCCUCUCCAAACUCCAGAUUUCUCAUCUGUUAGGUGAUUCUCGCUCAUGCCUUUCUGAGAAAACGUCAUGAAUAUUUCAUCAAACGUGAGAGAGAAGAAUGCCAUCACUGUGACAGAAGGACACGAUAAGUGAAAUACAGAACUUCUUUUGGCAACAGUGCAUUCUUCAAUGUUCACCUUUAAGUUCACCAGGAAUUUUCUGUUAAUUUGUACUACUUGAAAGCAAGAGACAUACGUGGUGAGCCUUAAUCAUUGCUGAUAAUCAGCAUUAGCAGUACACCUUUAUCAAGAAAAAUCACGUAAGUGAAAUCCAGUAGCUUACUGCCAUCAACCAGCAAAGUACGUAAAAAGUGCCCAGACAUCACCUUCUUAACCUCUACAAAUCUAUUUCUUCUGAUUAAACUUACUUUUCUGCAA